GAUGAACGCUGGCGGCGUGCCUAAUACAUGCAAGUCGAGCGAACGGACGAGAAGCUUGCUUCUCUGAUGUUAGCGGCGGACGGGUGAGUAACACGUGGAUAACCUACCUAUAAGACUGGGAUAACUUCGGGAAACCGGAGCUAAUACCGGAUAAUAUUUUGAACCGCAUGGUUCAAAAGUGAAAGACGGUCUUGCUGUCACUUAUAGAUGGAUCCGCGCUGCAUUAGCUAGUUGGUAAGGUAACGGCUUACCAAGGCAACGAUGCAUAGCCGACCUGAGAGGGUGAUCGGCCACACUGGAACUGAGACACGGUCCAGACUCCUACGGGAGGCAGCAGUAGGGAAUCUUCCGCAAUGGGCGAAAGCCUGACGGAGCAACGCCGCGUGAGUGAUGAGGGUCUUCGGAUCGUAAAACUCUGUUAUUAGGGAAGAACAUAUGUGUAAGUAACUGUGCACAUCUUGACGGUACCUAAGCAGAAAGCCACGGCUAACUACGU
RNAcentral lists this ribosomal RNA (496 nucleotides) under uncultured bacterium. RNAcentral describes it as "partial 16S ribosomal RNA". It matches the Rfam family "Bacterial small subunit ribosomal RNA", at positions 28 to 506 of the family's 1533-position model. The record is from RNAcentral.